RNAcentral lists this long non-coding RNA (494 nucleotides) under Lactuca sativa (garden lettuce). RNAcentral describes it as "long non-coding RNA (LSAT_LNC001253)". The record is from RNAcentral. Lineage: Eukaryota; Viridiplantae; Streptophyta; Magnoliopsida; Asterales; Asteraceae.
ACACCUUGCAAGAAAAGCUUCUUGAGCUUUCUUCACAUUCUCUUCUUUUCCUCCCCACGCCUUCAAAGUACUCUGCUGUAAAGCACGACCGAAUGAGAAAGUCAAAGUCCAUGGCUUCUUUCCUUUGAACUGGUUCAUCGCGUUGAGGUGAACGGUGGCUUGUUCCUCGCUCUGGCCGCCGGAGAGGAAGACAACCGCCGGGACAGCUGGCGGCAUGGUGCGUUGAAGAGCUCUGACGGUGUACUCCGCCACGACUUCCGGUGCGACCUUUUUGGCGUCGGAGCCGGGUGUGACCAUGUUGGGUUUCAGAAGGGUGCCUUCUAGAAGAACAUGGUGGUCGUUGAGAGCUUUGUAGCAGGCGGCGAGGACACGCUCGGUUACGUCAGCGCAUUUGUUGAUGUCGUGAGAUCCGUCGACGAGGAUUUCUGGUUCAACAAUGGGGACUAGACCGUUUUCUUGACAGAUGAUUGCGUACCUUGCUAAUCCGUUUGCGU